GGAAAGGCCAGCCUGCAAAGAGCAGCUGCUGGUGCUUCAGAGGAAGGUGUGGGGCAUGUGGGUAGAGAGUGCUGGAGAGGAGGCAGCUGUGGCUGAAAAGGGGGGUCACUUCUGGCGGGCUUUGCUGCAAGGCAAGCUUUUGCAGAGUGUCAGCGCUGUUGUCCAAGCCUUGUAGAGGAUCUCCAGGUACCCCCAAAGCAGAUGGUGACUGAGUUUAGAGCAACUGGCUCAUGACCAGCCCCCAGCAAAAACAGCAAGCAAAUGGGAAAGUUGGACCAGAAUGAUCCUGUUGGCUACACAAUGCUGUCAUGAAGUAUCAGCAGGCUUGCAACUCCUCUUUGCUCACCUGUGAUCGAACUCAGUCACGUUGCGCAGCUGUUUCCGGUUGCUGCACCAUCACACAGACUUCAAGCCCGAUCAGUAAGAAGUCCAAGGCCUUGCAGUGGCACAGCACCAUGGUUUCUCCCUCUCUCUAGUGGGAGCUCUCGUAGAACUCCCACCUGAAGACACUACAUGCAUUUGGGAUACUACACUGCAUCCCAAAGCUAUGGCUCUAUCUUAUACUCUCAGGCUCCAGAAACGCUUUGGGAGAGAGGAUAGCAAAGCCUGGGGAGCACAGCAGCAGCUGCACCCAACCUUCAGCUGCUCAGAGGUCACUCUUGUAUGUGGUUUCUUUUCCUCCUGUGCAUGAGGCAAGCAAGUCAGCAUUUAGAAUGGGUUUAUACUACAAAAUUAACGGUAGUGAGGAGCAUUUGAGUAUAAACCUGACUGCUCGCCCCAAAAGUGUCUGUCUCAUCGCCAAGCGUUAUCCUGCCUAGGCAAACCUCCAAACUUUAUUAAAGCCUUGAGAUGUCAAAACAAGGCUUCUGCUGCGUUCCUUUUACAGGUACCUCCAUACACCGUCACCACAAAUGCAGACGCUGGCCUCAAGCCAGUUAGAGCUAGCAGCGCUGCCAGCAAAACAUCAUUCCCCCCAAGCAUUACCCAGCUUCUCAGGCAGGGUUGUGCUCUGCGGGGAUUUAUAUUGCUAUCAACUGUAGCACAACCUGAGCAACGGAGCUUAAAGCGAGGUGAGGGGUGCUCAUCACAACAACAGUCACUCGCCCAGGGUACACACUCAACAGCAGAGCUCAGCCACUUGGGAUCAUUACAGAAAAAGUUCAGGGCAUUUCUGGCAUGCCUAGACUUGUUCAUCCUGUUCUUCAGAGGCAUUUCAGCCCAGCCCAUAACACUUUGCCUCUUGUCCCCUGGCACCUCCCAACCCUGUCUUGCAGGUAGUGAUAGGUGCAAUCUUACCUUCGCCUAAAGCGCGGCAUCGCCCCAAGAAAUGCUCUUUCACUACAGCACUACCUGCAUCCCCACAGCAAGCAGAGAAGACCUCAAUGCCCCCACCCCAACCUGGGUGACAAAGGCGUGAAGCACACAGUAAGUGUCACUUUUGCAAGCCCUUCAAGCAACAAGCUGCAGUAUGAUCACUGACCUCACAAAGUGAGGCACAGACAGAGGCUUCAAGGAUACGGCUUGUAGGGUCUUCAAGCCAAACAGCCCAUGUCUUUUGGUAGUCCUGGGAAUACAACCACUUCUCAGCCCACCCUGGGAACAGAUAGCUCAAGCCACUAUCUGACAGAUAGCUCUUUCAGUCACCGGCGAACAAGCCUUGGCUCUUGAACCUCACUGUCAGCUCUGAGAAUGGCUCCUGUGUGAGUAAUACACUGUGCGACAGGAUGGGAAUGUGCUGCUACGAGGUCCGCUGUGUAACCUGGAUAAUCAGAUACGAGAGGAAGUAUGGCUGCAGGGACGAAUCCCUCUGGCUUGCCCUGAGAUCCUGCUCCACAUAUAGCCCCCUCCAGAGUGACAUGUUAGGAGCCCUGGGGAGCCAUUAUCACUAUCUGCCUAAAAUUCCCCGUUCCCAUGGCCUUCUUCAGUUUGAGAGACAGCCCUCAUGGCUCUAGCACAAAUUAAGAUUUUGGUAUGUGGCACAUACGUGCAGGAAUGCUGCCCGUCGCUGUUUUGCAUUACAAUAUGAGAGCUGCUUCCUUUAUAUUCAGCCUGAUCGAUACGUCCUCUGCAGAUGGACAACUCUAUUUCCCACUGGUUUCACUCUGUUGGUGACAGCCAAGGCAAGAUCACAAGCAACAUCAGGAAUGUAGGCAUCGAUCAGCGCGUCAGCUGUGAGGAAGCAGCAACUUGGCUGCUCUGUGGGGGAAGGUGAGCCUGGAGCUGGGGUGACUGCAAGGCAGGCACGGGGCAGCGGCCACACUGGCAAAGGCACAGAACCACAAGACGCGGGCAAGAAAAGAACAGGUCUGGUGAUGGUAACCAGGUUCAGCCAAGUGUCCUGGGAUUGCUGGGCAAGUCCGUGAUGAUGAGCCAGAUCCGAGGUGAAGACGGGGACUGAAGUCCACAGGCCAAGGCCCACAGAAACAGGGUACAUGGCACAGGCAUGGCUGCAACACAGCUGCGCGGUAGCCCAGGUGGGGACCAAGUGCAAGACCCUCAGCUUACAAGUGAACAGCAGGACAGGCCCUCGCUGAGGCUUUUUAGCAGAGCCUUCUCAAAGAGCUCUUACCUGCACGACUGUCUAAGUUAGCCCUGAGCCAGGGAGCCGAAUGCCCUGACACUAGCUACCACACUGUGUAAUGCUUCUCAAGGCAGGUAUAGAUGCCAGGGAUGAAUAUAAUCUGCUGCCAAUCUCCAGGCUCAAGCACCACACUACCGCAAAUGCCCAUGUUAAUAGCAGCGGGCAUUUUAGAGGAAAAGACCCUUACCAGACAUCCCAAGCUCUCCGCCUGGUUGGGAUAAGCCUGUGUUACAACUGGUGUUCGUACAGCAGUCUAAUCCUCUGUUCUGCUUCCUUGACCACCACCAACCCCUGCCCUAAUACGACCUGAGGCAAGCCAUGCAGUAGGAUCUGUGUUCUGUGGUUUCACCGAGUUGUGCCUCUGACUUUUUUUGCCCUCUUGCUUUUGAUCUGACAGCAAAUGCCACUCAAGGCUGGCUGCCAUUGCUUUUCCAUCACUGUGAGUUCUCUGUAACUCCGAGCUCUCGUUUCCCUGCCCGCCUGUGUAAGGCACCCUUUGCAGAGAUAAAGGCUGGGUACCACCAAUGCCACUUCCCCGGCUUUUCGGGAAGGUACAGGGCAGUGGCAGGAGGGAUGGUUUGUAGCGGUACAAACAAGCAGUGGUUUGUCACCCCUGAGACUUCUGCAGCAGUGAAGUUCUCCACUCUUAUAAAGAUCUUGCUCACGUGGAAAGGAUGUGGAAGGUUGCUGAAAAAAACAAAAAAGGGAAUGAAUAGAGAAGUUGCCAACUGCGUAAAAGUAACUGUGUUUUCGCAAACUGUGUUUGAAAUGGUGCUGGGGACAGAAAGCAGUGUGGUGCAUAGGAGGGAACCCUGCCUCGGCAGCAAUACGCGCGCACGCACACCUUCUUAUGCUAAAACAGUAUUCAUGAUUUCACUCUGGAGGGGGAGUACUAUAAGCCAAGCUGAACUUCUAACUGACUCCGGUGAUUCUGGUAGUUUCUGUAUAUUCACCCUGUUGUGAGUUGGACCUGAACCAGAUCCCACCUGCAUCUCUCUCGGGCGUUCAAAACCUACCUCUGGGAAAUGACAGGAAAGAUGAAAUGCUCAGCGUUUCUGCCAUCCUCACCAGUCCCUGAGCAGAAGAGGGGGCUACCAGCUACCAGGACCCUUUCUGGAGGCUUUUCUAGGACCAAGAUGAAGAUGUAUCAAGGUAGGGACGUGGGAGGGACAAGCUUAAUAAAAUAUACGGAGGGCUGUGCCACAGGCACUGAGACACAGCGAGGCUGCAGCGCGUUGGAAGGGACCGUCUCCAUUAGUGUGAAGAGAGAAGAUCCAACAACUGCAUUUAGCCUGUGGACAUCUUAAUGUCUCUGAAACCACUGGCCCACCUCCUCCCGCCGCCGUCCCAGCCUGGCGUGCAUCGCCAGUCGCCGCGCUGACACAAAGCUGUAAUUGCCAGCACGGGGACCGGGGCCGAGGGGAAUUCGCUGAGGCAGUCGGGCUCUCUGGCAGCCUGUCAGCUCCUAGGUCCGCAAUGGAAAUUAAUCACUGAAGCUCAAGGAAACACACCUUAAACAAAAACCCCACCGGCUAUGCUGAGGAGGCAAGGCAUGUCCAGCCUGUUGAAAUUACAUUGUAAUUAAAACUUAAUAAAAAGUGGCAUUUAUCGA
Molecule: long non-coding RNA, 4193 nt
Organism: Grus americana (Whooping crane)
Lineage: Eukaryota; Metazoa; Chordata; Aves; Gruiformes; Gruidae
Exons: 5
Source: RefSeq, a predicted model, not a curated record